GUGAGCUUAGCUCAGUUGGUAAGAACAAUGCAUUAUAUAUGCAAAGUUCGGGUUCGAACCCUGGACACCACA
This 72-nucleotide transfer RNA is filed under the name Medicago truncatula (barrel medic). RNAcentral's name for it is "tRNA-OTHER". Lineage: Eukaryota; Viridiplantae; Streptophyta; Magnoliopsida; Fabales; Fabaceae. The record is from RNAcentral.